Molecule: unclassified non-coding RNA, 89 nt
Filed under: Chryseobacterium taihuense
Lineage: Bacteria; Pseudomonadati; Bacteroidota; Flavobacteriia; Flavobacteriales; Weeksellaceae
Description: Flavo-1 RNA
Source: RNAcentral
UUAUUGCGUGAGGGAUAGUAAUGAAAAGCCCGCAGCAAGCGGCGGAAAUGCUGCUGAGUGAGGACUUGUAAUGGAUAGCCCGACCCGAA